This 1077-nucleotide long non-coding RNA is filed under the name Equus caballus (horse). RNAcentral's name for it is "lncRNA (ENSECAG00000044793.1)". The record is from RNAcentral. Lineage: Eukaryota; Metazoa; Chordata; Mammalia; Perissodactyla; Equidae.
GCCAUAUUUUGCUAAUCCUCUCCCCAGCCCUAGGAGAUUAAUCUUGAAGAGUCUAAAUGGAUCGUGGUCAUUCCAUUCUCCUUGUUGGAAUCAAUAAAAUCUCCAGACCAGUGUCUCUGGGGGAACCCAGUGCCUGGAGGAUAAGGACCAAAAGAAGCUUUACUUUUCCCUUAAUACCUUUUUGAACUCCGAAUUUUGCAACAAGAACAUGAAAAUUAGCCCUGAGUUAACAUCCACUGCCAAUGCUCCUGUUUGCUGAGGAAGACUGGCCCUGAGCCAUCAUCCAUGCCCAUCUUCCUCUCCCUCAUAUGUGGGACGCCUGCCACAGCAUGGCUUGAUAAGUCACACUAGGUCCGCACCCAGGAUUCGAACCAGCAAACCCUGGGCCACCAAAGUGCGACUACGCAGAAUGGUUAAGAAGCUGACGACUCUGUCAGGCAAACGAGUUCAAAUUCUGUCUCUGUCACUCCUUACCAGAUAUAUGACCUCAGGAAGAUUAGCCCUGAGCUAACUGCUGCCAAUCCUCCUCUUUUUGCUGAGGAAGACUGGCCCUGAGCGAACAUCCAUGCACAUCUUCCUCUACUUUACAUGUGGGACGCCUGCCACAGCAUGGCUUGACAAGAGGUACCAUGUCCGCACCCAGGAUCCGAACUGGAGAACCCUGGGCCGCUGAAGCAGAACACGCAAACUUAACCGCUGCGCCACUGGCCCGGCCCCCACGUGUGUGGCUUGCCAAGCAGUGCCAUGUCCGCAGCCGGGAUCCGAAGUGGCGAACUCCCAGGCCGCCGAAUUGGAACGUGCGAACUUAGCUGCUGCGCCACAGAGCCGACCCCCUGGAUAAUGUUUUCUUAAGUAAGGUAAAAACAAGAGACUGUUUGAACACUCUGAACUGGACUCCAUGAAAGAAGGUUUAAAAAGAUUUCACUCAGCUAUUGCUGCCACUAGAAUAAUUACUGGAGAAAUGAGUUACAAAUGCUUCACGCAGAACUACUAAAUACCAGAUAAGUAGUCGCUGAUUACAAAAAAAUAAGCUGAUUGCAGGCUGCUUUAUAAUGAAGAUGUUUUACUGAGAGGAGG